UCAAAUAAAUUAUUAAAAAAUUAAAAAAAAAAUCUAUUUCUUUCUCCUCUAUCACCACCACCAACUAUUUCCUCAUCCAAUCCCAUUUCUUGGCCACUAACUCCUCGAUAUAAAAACUAAGGCCGUGGUUGGUUUGUCGUUUUUGGCCCAUUUUCCGUUUUCCGUUUUCGAAAACGCGAAAAACACUUUUGGUCCGUUGUUUUCGAAAACGCAUUUUCGAAAACGAGUUAAAAUUUAUAACUGAAAACGCAAAAUGACUUUUUAUCGUUUUCAACUUUUUCAGUUAUAAAUGUCAAAACGUUCAAAACGUGGAAAAUGGGUCGUUUUCGGAGAAAAUUAAAAAUCGUUUUGAAAAUGAAAAUGUAAACCAACCACUACCUAAGCUCUUCUCAGUCCAAAUUAGAUGCGCAUUUGAGUAACUUCUUUUUGGCCACUAACUCCUCCACAACAACCAUUACAUUCUCUAUAUUCUUCUCACUUAAAGCAGCCAUCGGUGCCUCCUUAUGCCUAAAAUUCUUCAAGCGGAGGCCAUAGAAAGAACCAUAGGCGAGAGGUUAGAAACUCAACUGUAGUCAGUAGCCUCUGGUUGUCGGAGAUGGUCUCAAAGGUGACUACAGGAGGCUACAUUGAACAACGGUUACCUUCAUUGUUGUUGCUAGAGAUUUGAACUUUGUUGGACAUUUUUUCAAACACCUUGUGUGCUCAUCAAAACUAGAAUUUUUUUUUUACAGAUUGUAUCCUUAUGAAUCAGGAGUUGAAUGCUACAUUCGAUCAUCUCAAAUCUCCUUUUAGUGGUGAUCUUNNN
This 805-nucleotide long non-coding RNA is filed under the name Olea europaea (common olive). Its description in RNAcentral is "long non-coding RNA (OEUR_LNC007730)". The record is from RNAcentral. Lineage: Eukaryota; Viridiplantae; Streptophyta; Magnoliopsida; Lamiales; Oleaceae.